UGGAAAAUGAAGGCUUCUGUUUAUCCACAAAACAGAGAACAAGCAGCAGCUGUGCAAGCUUCCUUGUGCAGCUUCGGCCCAGUUCUGGAGGGAAAACCUGUAAGGAUGAGAGAGUAGUCCUGUCUUUUUCCCUCUAUGCAGCAAUA
RNAcentral lists this small RNA (146 nucleotides) under Chelonoidis abingdonii (Abingdon island giant tortoise). RNAcentral's name for it is "TUC338 (ENSCABG00000002663.1)". Lineage: Eukaryota; Metazoa; Chordata; Testudines; Testudinidae. The record is from RNAcentral.